GAUGAACGCUAGCGACAGGCUUAACACAUGCAAGUCGAGGGGCAGCAUAAAAGUAGCAAUACUUUGGUGGCGACCGGCGCACGGGUGAGUAACGCGUAUGCAACCUACCUAUCAGAGGGGGAUAACCCGGCGAAAGUCGGACUAAUACCGCAUAAAACAGGGGCACCGCAUGGUGCUAUUUGUUAAAAAUUUAUUGCUGAUAGAUGGGCAUGCGUUCCAUUAGGUAGUUGGAGAGGUAACGGCUCACCAAGCCAACGAUGGAUAGGGGAACUGAGAGGUUGGUCCCCCACACUGGUACUGAGACACGGACCAGACUCCUACGGGAGGCAGCAGUGAGGAAUAUUGGUCAAUGGGCAGAGCCUGAACCAGCCAAGUCGCGUGAAGGAAGAAGGAUCUAUGGUUCGUAAACUUCUUUUGCAGGGGAAUAAAGUGCAGGACGUGUCCUGUUUUGUAUGUACCCUGAGAAUAAGGAUCGGCUAACUCCGUGCCAGCAGCCGCGGUU
RNAcentral lists this ribosomal RNA (502 nucleotides) under uncultured bacterium. Its description in RNAcentral is "bacterial SSU rRNA". It matches the Rfam family "Bacterial small subunit ribosomal RNA", at positions 28 to 522 of the family's 1533-position model. The record is from RNAcentral.